This 774-nucleotide ribosomal RNA is filed under the name uncultured Neocallimastigales. Its description in RNAcentral is "partial large subunit ribosomal RNA". It matches the Rfam family "Eukaryotic large subunit ribosomal RNA", at positions 20 to 621 of the family's 3401-position model. Lineage: Eukaryota; Fungi; Neocallimastigomycota; Neocallimastigomycetes; Neocallimastigales. The record is from RNAcentral.
UACUAGAGUAGCACUCGCAUAUCAAUAAGCGGAGGAAAAGAAACUAACAAGGAUUCCCCUAGUAACGGCGAGUGAAGCGGGAAGAGCUCAAAUUUGAAAUCUUAAAGGGUUUCCCUUUACGAAUUGUAGUUUAAAGAAGUGUUUUCUGUUGAGGUUUUGGUAAAAGUUCUUUGGAAUAGGACAUCAUAGAGGGUGAGAAUCCCGUAUUUGACCCUUACUUUCAACUUUGUGAUACACUUUCAAAGAGUCGGAUUGUUUGGGAAUGCAGUCCAAAAUGGGUGGUAAAUUUCAUCUAAAGCUAAAUAUUGGCGAGAGACCGAUAGCGAACAAGUACCGUGAGGGAAAGAUGAAAAGAACUUUGAAAAGAGAGUUAAACAGUACGUGAAAUUGUCAAAAGGGAAGCGUUCGACACCAGUGUUGUUUUUCUGAAAAUCAAUUAAAGAACUGUUUAUGCUAAGCUGUUUAGACUUUAUCAGCUAUCUGCUUAGUUUUGAGCUUUUCUUUAAUGCACUUUUCAGUUAACAAGUCAACAUCAAUUUCUUUUGCUGUAAAAAAGCUUGAGGAAGGUGGCUUGAGAUUCGUCUUAAGUGUUUAUAGCCUCUUGCCUAUGCAGUCGGAGAGAUUGAGGUCUGCAGCGUAGAUCCUUCGGGGCUAAAUGCAUUUGUGCUAAGUUAUAGCAUUUUAUAGACAACUUGUUGACUAUGAUUUGUCUUGUAGCUUACUCGCUUAUGUUAUUUUACCUACGCUUAGGAUGUUGAACUCUAUCACACACAG